RNAcentral lists this ribosomal RNA (3013 nucleotides) under Salmonella enterica subsp. enterica serovar Typhimurium. RNAcentral's name for it is "23S ribosomal RNA". It matches the Rfam family "Bacterial large subunit ribosomal RNA". The record is from RNAcentral. Lineage: Bacteria; Pseudomonadati; Pseudomonadota; Gammaproteobacteria; Enterobacterales; Enterobacteriaceae.
GGGUUGUGAGGUUAAGCGACUAAGCGUACACGGUGGAUGCCCUGGCAGUCAGAGGCGAUGAAGGACGUGCUAAUCUGCGAUAAGCGCCGGUAAGGUGAUAUGAACCGUUAUAACCGGCGAUUUCCGAAUGGGGAAACCCAGUGUGAUUCGUCACACUAUCAUUAACUGAAUCCAUAGGUUAAUGAGGCGAACCGGGGGAACUGAAACAUCUAAGUACCCCGAGGAAAAGAAAUCAACCGAGAUUCCCCCAGUAGCGGCGAGCGAACGGGGAGGAGCCCAGAGCCUGAAUCAGCAUGUGUGUUAGUGGAAGCGUCUGGAAAGGCGCGCGAUACAGGGUGACAGCCCCGUACACAAAAGCGCAUGUGCUGUGAGCUCGAUGAGUAGGGCGGGACACGUGGUAUCCUGUCUGAAUAUGGGGGGACCAUCCUCCAAGGCUAAAUACUCCUGACUGACCGAUAGUGAACCAGUACCGUGAGGGAAAGGCGAAAAGAACCCCGGCGAGGGGAGUGAAAAAGAACCUGAAACCGUGUACGUACAAGCAGUGGGAGCACAGGUUUACCUGUGUGACUGCGUACCUUUUGUAUAAUGGGUCAGCGACUUAUAUUCUGUAGCAAGGUUAACCGUAUAGGGGAGCCGUAGGGAAACCGAGUCUUAACCGGGCGUUAAGUUGCAGGGUAUAGACCCGAAACCCGGUGAUCUAGCCAUGGGCAGGUUGAAGGUUGGGUAACACUAACUGGAGGACCGAACCGACUAAUGUUGAAAAAUUAGCGGAUGACCUGUGGCUGGGGGUGAAAGGCCAAUCAAACCGGGAGAUAGCUGGUUCUCCCCGAAAGCUAUUUAGGUAGCGCCUCGUGAAUUCAUCUCCGGGGGUAGAGCACUGUUUCGGCUAGGGGGCCAUCCCGGCUUACCAACCCGAUGCAAACUGCGAAUACCGGAGAAUGUUAUCACGGGAGACACACGGCGGGUGCUAACGUCCGUCGUGAAGAGGGAAACAACCCAGACCGCCAGCUAAGGUCCCAAAGUCAUGGUUAAGUGGGAAACGAUGUGGGAAGGCCCAGACAGCCAGGAUGUUGGCUUAGAAGCAGCCAUCAUUUAAAGAAAGCGUAAUAGCUCACUGGUCGAGUCGGCCUGCGCGGAAGAUGUAACGGGGCUAAACCAUGCACCGAAGCUGCGGCAGCGAACGUAUCACCCAAGACAACUUUACGGAGUUGACGAUUGACGGAGCGAAGCGACGUCAAAGCGUUCAUUAAAGUCGAGUUGGCUUAGGGAUACGUUCGUUGGGUAGGGGAGCGUUCUGUAAGCCUGUGAAGGUGUGUCGUGAGGCAUGCUGGAGGUAUCAGAAGUGCGAAUGCUGACAUAAGUAACGAUAAAGCGGGUGAAAAGCCCGCUCGCCGGAAGACCAAGGGUUCCUGUCCAACGUUAAUCGGGGCAGGGUGAGUCGACCCCUAAGGCGAGGCCGAAAGGCGUAGUCGAUGGGAAACGGGUUAAUAUUCCCGUACUUGGUGUUACUGCGAAGGGGGGACGGAGAAGGCUAUGUUGGCCGGGCGACGGUUGUCCCGGUUUAAGCGUGUAGGUGUGUGUUCCAGGUAAAUCCGGUUCACUUUAACACUGAGGCGUGACGACGAGGCACUACGGUGCUGAAGCAACAAAUGCCCUGCUUCCAGGAAAAGCCUCUAAGCAUCAGGUAACAUCAAAUCGUACCCCAAACCGACACAGGUGGUCAGGUAGAGAAUACCAAGGCGCUUGAGAGAACUCGGGUGAAGGAACUAGGCAAAAUGGUGCCGUAACUUCGGGAGAAGGCACGCUGACACGUAGGUGAAGUGAUUUACUCAUGGAGCUGAAGUCAGUCGAAGAUACCAGCUGGCUGCAACUGUUUAUUAAAAACACAGCACUGUGCAAACACGAAAGUGGACGUAUACGGUGUGACGCCUGCCCGGUGCCGGAAGGUUAAUUGAUGGGGUCAGCGCAAGCGAAGCUCCUGAUCGAAGCCCCGGUAAACGGCGGCCGUAACUAUAACGGUCCUAAGGUAGCGAAAUUCCUUGUCGGGUAAGUUCCGACCUGCACGAAUGGCGUAAUGAUGGCCAGGCUGUCUCCACCCGAGACUCAGUGAAAUUGAACUCGCUGUGAAGAUGCAGUGUACCCGCGGCAAGACGGAAAGACCCCGUGAACCUUUACUAUAGCUUGACACUGAACAUUGAGCCUUGAUGUGUAGGAUAGGUGGGAGGCUUUGAAGUGUGGACGCCAGUCUGCAUGGAGCCGACCUUGAAAUACCACCCUUUAAUGUUUGAUGUUCUAACGUGGACCCGUAAUCCGGGUUGCGGACAGUGUCUGGUGGGUAGUUUGACUGGGGCGGUCUCCUCCUAAAGAGUAACGGAGGAGCACGAAGGUUGGCUAAUCCUGGUCGGACAUCAGGAGGUUAGUGCAAUGGCAUAAGCCAGCUUGACUGCGAGCGUGACGGCGCGAGCAGGUGCGAAAGCAGGUCAUAGUGAUCCGGUGGUUCUGAAUGGAAGGGCCAUCGCUCAACGGAUAAAAGGUACUCCGGGGAUAACAGGCUGAUACCGCCCAAGAGUUCAUAUCGACGGCGGUGUUUGGCACCUCGAUGUCGGCUCAUCACAUCCUGGGGCUGAAGUAGGUCCCAAGGGUAUGGCUGUUCGCCAUUUAAAGUGGUACGCGAGCUGGGUUUAGAACGUCGUGAGACAGUUCGGUCCCUAUCUGCCGUGGGCGCUGGAGAACUGAGGGGGGCUGCUCCUAGUACGAGAGGACCGGAGUGGACGCAUCACUGGUGUUCGGGUUGUCAUGCCAAUGGCACUGCCCGGUAGCUAAAUGCGGAAGAGAUAAGUGCUGAAAGCAUCUAAGCACGAAACUUGCCCCGAGAUGAGUUCUCCCUGAGACUUAGAGUCUCCUGAAGGAACGUUGAAGACGACGACGUUGAUAGGCCGGGUGUGUAAGCGCAGCGAUGCGUUGAGCUAACCGGUACUAAUGAACCGUGAGGCUUAACCUUACAACGCCGAAG